AUUUAUGAGAUCAGGCUCAUCCUAGAAACCAACAUGAGGAAACAGAGGGCAGUUCAGCACAUGACAAGAGACCUCUUGACUACGUGGGAUGAAUCACAUCCUGAGCUUGCAUUGUGAUGCUGCACCUGGCUCAGCAUGCGCACAUCUGAUGGAAUGUAUAUGGACACUGUGAAGGAGUAACGUAGGCAAAGGGUGAUUUAUGUCAAGUUGCUGCCUAUUUUGUAAAGCAGUAAUUUGAGAGGUUCGAGAUACAUGAGGGAAGGAACAGGCAGUGUAUUGCUGGCUCAACCAGUCUAGCAAUGUGUAGUUGCUCUGAUCUACGAGUAUUUGAUCUGUGUGGAUAUUAUUGUGAAAAGCUGCAUCAAAUUAGUUUUUUUUUUUUCCCCCUCAAGCAUAAGGAUGUUAUUAUUUAAUUUAUUUUUUUAAAUAAACAAAUUCCACAAGUAGGCCUCAAUUCAUUUGUAUAUAUUUUACCUUUUAUUAUGUAUACAUACACACAGACAGACAGACACAAGACUUCUCUCCCUCCCCCUCUCUCAUUUUCAGGCUAG
This 551-nucleotide long non-coding RNA is filed under the name Gallus gallus (chicken). RNAcentral's name for it is "lncRNA (ENSGALG00010006647.1)". The record is from RNAcentral. Lineage: Eukaryota; Metazoa; Chordata; Aves; Galliformes; Phasianidae.